This 435-nucleotide ribosomal RNA is filed under the name uncultured bacterium. RNAcentral's name for it is "bacterial SSU rRNA". It matches the Rfam family "Bacterial small subunit ribosomal RNA", at positions 29 to 507 of the family's 1533-position model. The record is from RNAcentral.
AACGAACGCUGGCGGCAGGCCUAACACAUGCAAGUCGAACGCUCGUAGCAAUACGGGAGUGGCAGACGGGUGCGUAACGCGUGGGAACAUACCCUUUGGUUCGGAAUAACUCAGGGAAACUUGAGCUAAUACCGGAUACGCCCGAGAGGGGAAAGAUUUAUUGCCGAAGGAUUGGCCCGCGUCUGAUUAGCUAGUUGGUAGGGUAACGGCCUACCAAGGCGACGAUCAGUAGCUGGUCUGAGAGGAUGAUCAGCCACACUGGGACUGAGACACGGCCCAGACUCCUACGGGAGGCAGCAGUGGGGAAUAUUGGACAAUGGGCGCAAGCCUGAUCCAGCCAUGCCGCGUGAGUGAUGACGGCCUUAGGGUUGUAAAGCUCUUUUACCCGGGAAGAUAAUGACGGUACCGGGAGAAUAAGCCCCGGCUAACUUCGUG